AGCAUGGCUCGCCUGCGCGUGCAA
This 24-nucleotide small RNA is filed under the name Lacticaseibacillus paracasei. RNAcentral describes it as "Lactobacillus paracasei CRISPR-DR28". The record is from RNAcentral. Lineage: Bacteria; Bacillati; Bacillota; Bacilli; Lactobacillales; Lactobacillaceae.